Molecule: non-coding RNA, 147 nt
Filed under: Pongo abelii (Sumatran orangutan)
Lineage: Eukaryota; Metazoa; Chordata; Mammalia; Primates; Hominidae
Source: RNAcentral
ACCUCGGGGGUUUCCUGCUUUAUGGCGAAGGUGAAAAUGGAGAGACUGGGAAGGAGUGUGUGUGCCCGCCUCUCCCACAGGAGGGAGCGUGGAGACCCAGGAGCGGCCUAGGACUGGAGGUACGACCCCCUUGACCCACCUUGAGGC